UACAGGGGUGGCAAGCGUUGUCCGGAAUUACUGGGUGUAAAGGGUUCGUAGGCGGAAUGGUAAGUCAGCGGUCAAAUCCGGCAGCUUAACUGUCGACUAUCCGUUGAUACUGCUGUUCUUGAGUGUGUGAAAGAUAAGUGGAAUUCCCAGUGUAGAGGUGAAAUUCGUAGAUAUUCGGAAGAACACCAGUGGCGAAGGCGACUCGCUGGACAAGUAUUGACGCUGAGGUGCGAAAGCGUGGGGAGCAAACAGGAUUAGAAACCCGAGUAGU
RNAcentral lists this ribosomal RNA (271 nucleotides) under uncultured bacterium. RNAcentral describes it as "partial 16S ribosomal RNA". It matches the Rfam family "Bacterial small subunit ribosomal RNA", at positions 524 to 794 of the family's 1533-position model. The record is from RNAcentral.